UACGGGGGGAGCAAGCGUUGUUCGGAUUCAUUGGGCGUAAAGGGUGCGUAGGUGGCGGGGUAAGUCAGGUGUGAAAUCUCGAGGCUCAACCUCGAAACUGCACUUGAUACUGCCUUGCUCGAGUACUGGAGAGGAGAUUGGAAUUUACGGUGUAGCAGUGAAAUGCGUAGAUAUCGUAAGGAAGACCAGUGGCGAAGGCGAAUCUCUGGACAGUUACUGACACUGAGGCACGAAGGCCAGGGGAGCAAACAGG
RNAcentral lists this ribosomal RNA (253 nucleotides) under uncultured bacterium. RNAcentral's name for it is "partial 16S ribosomal RNA". It matches the Rfam family "Bacterial small subunit ribosomal RNA", at positions 524 to 776 of the family's 1533-position model. The record is from RNAcentral.